UUCCUUGGUAAGCAAGUAUAAUAAAAAAAUUAGAAUUGUCUAGAUUCCACUAGAGUAAUUUGGACACCAAAAAACCUUGUAUAGGUUGUAGACACUUGUAGAAUUCUCUAGAAGAUAUGAUAAGAGUCUAUAAAUAGGGCAUGAUCCCUCAUUUGUUAGUAAGAAAAAAGAAGCUAGACAAAGCUCAAGCUAUUGUAAGCUAUCAUCAUUCUAAUAAAAUUCCUUUUUGCUACCCACUUUGUCCACCAAAUUACUUUCUACCAAAAUCUUCCAAACUAUUAACUUUCAAUAAAAAGUCAACUAUUUUUUACCUCCAAAAUUAUUCCAUACAAAACAUUCUCAAUCAUCCUAUCUCAUCACUACAACAACACAAAAACUAUCAGUGGUAUCAGAGCCACGUUCCAUUGAUAUUGGGCGUACGCAUAUAUGAUGGCAGACGCUUUCCGCUCAUCAAUUCCUAUCCCAAUAUUUAAUGGGGAAAACUAUGAGUUUUGGUCUGUCAAAAUGAAGACCUACUUUUGUGCUCAAAAUUUAUAGGAUGUCGUCAAAUUGGGUAUACUAACCCAGAUGACAUUUCCACUUUAACUUCAGCACAAAAGAAGGAACUUAAGGAGAAUCAACAAAAAGAUUCUCUAGCAUUACUUUCUCUACAAAUGAGCUUGACGGAUACAUAUUUUCCAAGAAUUAUGGGAGCCAAAACAGCGAAAGAAGCAUGGGAUAAGUUGAAGGAGGAGUUCUACGGCAGUAACAAGGUACGUACUUGCCGCCUUCAAGCUUUAAGAAGAAAUUUUGAAAAUCUAAAAAUGAAAGAGUCGGAAACUGCAAAAGAUUAUUAUUCAAGAAUAGAUGAAAUAGUAAAUCAACUAAGGUCUUAUGGUGAUGAUGUUCCCGAAAAGAAGGUCAUUGGAAAAAUUUUAAUUACUUGCACAGAAAAAUAUGAUCCAAUUAUUGCAGCUAUUGAGGAAUCCAAGGAUAUAGAUGAAUUAACAGCUGCAGAAUUAAUGGGAUCAUUAGAAGCUCAUGAAAAAAGAUUAGAAAGGCGCUAUGAAAUGGAGAUAGAAAACGCUUUUCAAUCGAAACUUAAUAUGCGGUUUCAAAAAUCUAAAGAAGGUGGAAGAAAAUUUAAAGAGAAUUCGAAAAAUAAAGAAAUUCAAGGAAAAGAAGUUGAUAAAAGCGACAAGUAUUCUUCAUGCAGUAUUUGUAAAAGAAAAGGUCAUCAGGAGAAAGAUUGUUGGUUUAAAGGUAAACCACAGUGUCGUAACUGUAGAAAAUUUGGACAUGAAGAGAAAUUUUGUCGCCUUAAACAAAAUCAUCAAGCUAAUUUCUCUGAAGAAAAAGAGACAGAUGGAAAUCUAUUUUAUGCCUUCAAGAAGAAUGUCUCUGAAAAGAAAUUAGAUACGUGGUAUCUAGAUAGUGGCUGUAGUAAUCACAUGACGAAGGAUGAAAGUAUUUUCUGCAGUCUCGAUAAAAUAAAUACAAAAAUAAAAAUUGGCAAUGGAAAUUUUAUAGAGGCUACAGGUAAAGGUACUAUUGCCGUUGAUACAAAAAAGGGUAAGAGAUACAUUAAUGAAGUUCUCUUAGUCCCUACAAUAGAUCAAAAUCUACUAAGUGUAGGUCAGAUGAUGGAGAAAGGAUACAGUAUACAUUUUGAAGGAGAUUAUUGUACAAUUUAUGAUAAGAAAGAUAAACAUCUGGUAAUUGCAAAUGUCAAAAAGCGGGAGAACAGAUGUUUUCUAAUCCAAUGGAGAUACGCAAACAAUGUGGCAAUGGCGGUGCAAGUAGACGAGUCAUGGUUGUGGCAUAAAAGAUUUGGACAUUUCUACUUCCAUGGGUUAAAAAUUUUGAAGCAAAAGAGCAUGAUGAGAGACUUACCAGUCAUAAAAAAAAUUGAUGCAAUUUGCGAAGGAUGCUUGAGCGGGAAACAUCCCCGUCAACCAUUUCCAUCUGGAAAAGUAUGGAGAGCCAAAAAGCCUUUGGAGUUGAUACAUACAGAUGUAUGUGGCCCGAUGCGUACUCCAUCACAUAACCAAAAUAGGUACUUCAUUCUAUUCAUAGAUGACUAUACUAGAAUGACAUGGGUAUAUUUCUUGCAAGAAAAAUCCCAAGUAUUUGAGAUUUUCAAAAAGUUCAAAAGCUAUGUCGAAAUGCAAAGUGGUUGCAAAAUCAAAACUAUCAGAAGCGACAGAGGUAGGGAAUAUACAUCAAAUAAAUUCAACAAGUUUUGUGAAGAUGAAGGAAUGGAGCAUCAACUUACUGUUGGGUACGCACCGGAACAAAAUGGCAUGUCAGAAAGAAAGAACAGAACAGUAAUGGAGACAGCUAGAGCUAUGCUGAUGGGGAAGGUCUUCCAAAAACAUUUUGGGCAGAAACAGUAAGCACUGUAGUCUAUCUACUAAAUCGAUGUCCGACAAAGGCAGUGCAAGACAAAACACCGGUUGAAGCAUGGGGUGGACGAAAACCAUCAGCAAAACAUCUCAGAGUUUUCGGCUGCAUCUGCUACACACAUAUACCUCAGGAGAAAAGAGGUAAGCUGGAUGAAAAGACUGAAAAAGGAAUCUUCUUAGGUUAUAGUACACAAUUAAAAGGCUAUCGAGUAUAUAACCUAAGAACAAAGAAGCUAAUUAUAAGUCGAGACGUAAAGUUUGAUGAAGAUGCCACCUACAACUGGGAGACUGGUCAAAUUGAGAAAAAAAAUGUCAGCACCCUUACACAACCACAAAAGCAGGAGAGUGAUGUUGAGGAGAACAAUCAAACCGUAGCAUGCAGUUAUAGAAGAACCAGUCGACUCACCAGAAUCAUCGCCAAGAAAGACACGAAGAUUAUCAGAAAUAUAUGAAAGAUGCAACUUGAUGAUCAUAGAACCUAAAAGCUAUGAAGUAGCUUCAAAACAACCAGAAUGGAGAAAUGCUAUGGAUGAAGAAAUAAAAAUGAUCGAGAAAAACAAUACUUGGGAGCUUGUAGAUCCUCCUCAAGAUAAAGAAGUCAUAGGAGUUAAGUGUGUCUACAAGACUAAACUCAAUGCUGAUGGCUCAAUUCAAAAACAUAAAGCAAGACUAGUUGCCAAAGGAUACUCACAUCAGUUUGGCAUCGAUUACACUGAGACAUUUGCCCCUGUUGCACGUCUCGAUACUAUAAGGGCAUUAAUUGCACUAGCUGCACAGAAAAGGUGGAAGAUUUACCAGUUGGACGUCAAAUUGGCAUUUCUUAAUGGCUAUCUUGAAGAAGAAAUUUAUGUGGAGCAACCUCAAGGGUACGAGGUUCGAGGUAAAGAAUAUAAAGUUUUCAAACUAAAGAAGGCACUAUAUGGAUUAAAGCAAGCUCCGCGAGCCUGGUACAGUAGAAUUGACAACUACUUCACUAAGCAAGGAUUCAGGAGGAGCCAAAGUGAACCAACUCUAUAAAUCAAAAACCAAGGUACAAAUAGUACACUUAUAAUCUCUUUAUAUGUUGAUGAUCUCAUCUACACAGGGAAUGAUGAGAAGAUGAUCAAGAAAUUCAAGGAAGAUAUGAUGAAAACGUUCGAGAUGACUGAUCUGGGAUUAAUGCACUAUUUUCUUUGGAUCGAGGUAACUCAAUCUAAAGAUAGGAUAUUUAUAGCUCAGAAGAAGUAUACCACCAAUCUAUUAAAAAAGUUCAAGAUGGAAGGUUGCAAAACAGUAGCAACACCUCUGGAUAGCAACAAAUCACUCAGAAAAGAAGAUGGUACUCCAAAAGCAGAUAGUUCACAAUUUCGAAGCUUAAUUGGAAGUUUACUCUAUCUAACUGCUACAAGGCCAGGCAUAAUGUAUGCAACCAGCCUAUUUUCAAGAUUUAUGCAAAAUCCAAGUCAAGUUCACUAUGGAGCUACAAAGCGGAUACUAAGAUACCUCCAAGGAACAAAAGACUAUGGAAUAAGGUAUGAGUCUACGCCUGACUCAAGACUACUUGGGUAUACUGAUAGCAAUUGGGCCGGAUCAGUAGAUGAUAUGAAGAGCACAUCACGCUAUGCAUUUACACUAGGUUCGGGAAUAUUUUCUUGGGCAUCAAAGAAACAGGCAACGGUUGCACAAUCAUCAGCUGAAGCAGAGUAUAUUGCAGCAGCAAUGACUACGAGUCAAGCAAUAUGGUUAAAGCGCACACUUGAAGAUAUGGGAGAGCCACAAAAUGAAGCAAUAAAGAUCUACAACGACAGUAAAUCAGAUAUAGCAAUGGUCAAAAAUCCUGUAUUUCACAGCAGAACAAAACAUAUUGGCAUCAAGUAUCACUUCAUCAGAGAAGCUGAAGCAAACAAAGAGAUAGAACUUAAACAUUGCAAAACUGAAGAACAAUUGGCGGACAUAUUCACGAAGGCACUACCACGAGCAAAGUUCGAGCUACUACGAGAAAUGAUUGGAGUUACCGAAAUGAGCAUCAAGGAUGAGUGAUAAAUUUAAUGAUGCUCAUUUCUAGAAGAAUCUAGAAUUACUUGCCUAGAAUAUCCUAGAAUUCCUUGGUAAGCAAGUAUAAUAAAAAAAUUAGAAUUGUCUAGAUUCGACUAGAGUAACUUGGACACCAAAAAACCUUGUAUAGGUUGUAGACACUUGUAGAAUUCUCUAGAAGAUAUGAUAAGAGUCUAUAAAUAGGGCAUGAUCUCUCAUUUGUUAGUAAGAAAAAAGAAGGUAGACAAAGCUCAAGCUAUUGUAAGC
Molecule: long non-coding RNA, 4664 nt
Filed under: Olea europaea (common olive)
Lineage: Eukaryota; Viridiplantae; Streptophyta; Magnoliopsida; Lamiales; Oleaceae
Description: long non-coding RNA (OEUR_LNC009856)
Source: RNAcentral